This 497-nucleotide ribosomal RNA is filed under the name uncultured bacterium. RNAcentral's name for it is "partial 16S ribosomal RNA". It matches the Rfam family "Bacterial small subunit ribosomal RNA", at positions 28 to 507 of the family's 1533-position model. The record is from RNAcentral.
GAUGAACGCUGGCGGCGUGCCUAAUACAUGCAAGUCGAGCGAACAGAUGAGGAGCUUGCUCCUUUGACGUUAGCGGCGGACGGGUGAGUAACACGUGGAUAACCUACCUAUAAGACUGGGAUAACUUCGGGAAACCGGAGCUAAUACCGGAUAACAUAUUGAACCGCAUGGUUCAAUAGUGAAAGGCGGCUUUGCUGUCACUUAUAGAUGGAUCCGCGCCGUAUUAGCUAGUUGGUAAGGUAACGGCUUACCAAGGCAACGAUACGUAGCCGACCUGAGAGGGUGAUCGGCCACACUGGAACUGAGACACGGUCCAGACUCCUACGGGAGGCAGCAGUAGGGAAUCUUCCGCAAUGGGCGAAAGCCUGACGGAGCAACGCCGCGUGAGUGAUGAAGGUCUUCGGAUCGUAAAACUCUGUUAUCAGGGAAGAACAAAUGUGUAAGUAACUGUGCACAUCUUGACGGUACCUGAUCAGAAAGCCACGGCUAACUACGUG